This 299-nucleotide unclassified non-coding RNA is filed under the name fungal sp. Its description in RNAcentral is "partial internal transcribed spacer region". The stretch from base 1 to 46 matches the Rfam family "Eukaryotic small subunit ribosomal RNA", at positions 1786 to 1831 of the family's 1831-position model. Lineage: Eukaryota; Fungi. The record is from RNAcentral.
AAGUCGUAACAAGGUUUCCGUAGGUGAACCUGCGGAAGGAUCAUUAAUGAAUGAGAGGUGUUGGAAGGAGGCGAAGGAAUAAUUCGUCGCCUUUCAAUGCCCAAUCCACCCCAAACGUUGUGUGAACCACAAACCAUGAUCGUCGUCACGUUGGUCCGGGCGUGUCAUGUGCGGUGACGUACCUGACCGUCCAGAACCAUGCGAGUCUGUCGACAUGGAUUUUUAAAAAACCCAUCCAUUCUUAUUGUCUAAAAAAUUGAUAACAAAAACAACUUUUAACAACGGAUCUCUUGGCUCUC